CCUACGGGUGGCAGCAGUGGGGAAUAUUGCACAAUGGGGGAAACCCUGAUGCAGCGACGCCGCGUGAGUGAAGAAGUAUUUCGGUAUGUAAAGCUCUAUCAGCAGGGAAGAAGAUAGACGUUACUUGACUAAGAAGCCCCGGCUAACUACGUGCCAGCAGCCGCGGUAAUACGGAGGGGGCAAGCGUUAUCCGGAUUUAUUGGGUGUAAGGGGAGCGUAGGCGGCUGUGCAAGCCUGAAGUGAAAGCCCAGGGCUAAACCCUGGGACUGCUUUGGAAACGGUGGAGCUAGAGUGCUGGGGAGGUAAGUGGAAUUCCUAGUGUAGGGGUGAAAUGCGUAGAUAUUAAGAGGAACACCAGUGGCGAAGGCGGCUUACUGGACAGUAACUGACGUUGAGGCUCGAAAGCGUGGGGAGCAAACAGGAUUAGAUACCCUUGUAGUC
RNAcentral lists this ribosomal RNA (441 nucleotides) under uncultured bacterium. Its description in RNAcentral is "partial 16S ribosomal RNA". It matches the Rfam family "Bacterial small subunit ribosomal RNA", at positions 338 to 795 of the family's 1533-position model. The record is from RNAcentral.